UCAAGCAGAAAGGGCACAGGGCGGAUGCCUUGGCACUAAGGGCCGAAGAAAGACGUGAUAAGCUGCGAUAAGCUUCGGGGAGGAGCAAAUAUCCAUUGAUCCGGAGAUCUCUGAAUGGGGAAACCCACAUGAGCAAACCUCAUGUAUCCAUACGCCAAUCCAUAACGUAUGGAGGGGAACCCGGGGAACUGAAACAUCUAAGUACCCGGAGGAAAAGAAAGAAAACUCGAUUCCGUAAGUAGCGGCGAGCGAACGCGGAAGAGCCUAAACCGGUGUGCGUGCACACCGGGGUUACGGACUGCAUUUAAGAUUCUGCAAUGUUAGUGGAACGGUUUUGGGAAAGCCGGCCGGAGAGGGUGAAAGCCCCGUAGACGAAAACAGAGCAGACUGAGCAGGAUCCAGAGUACCGCGGGACACGAGAAACCCUGCGGGAAGUGAGGGGGACCACCCCCUAAGGCUAAAUACCACUUAGUGACCGAUAGCGCAUAGUACUGUGAAGGAAAGGUGAAAAGGACCCCGGGAGGGGAGUGAAAGAGAACCUGAAACCCUGUGUCUACAAGCUGUGGGAGUGCUUUAUAUGCACGACCGCGUACUUUUUGUAGAACGGUCCGGCGAGUUGCGCUCACUGGCAAGGUUAAGCACCGGAGGUGCGGAGCCGUAGGGAAACCAAGUCUUAAGAGGGCCAGAGUCAGUGGGGGCAGACCCGAAACCGGGUGAUCUAUCCAUGUCCAGGUUGAAGCUGCCGUAAGAGGCAGUGGAGGACCGAACCCACAUCCGUUGAAAAGGGUGGGGAUGAGGUGUGGAUAGGGGAGAAAUUCCAAUCGAACCCGGAGAUAGCUGGUUCUCCUCGAAAUAGCUUUAGGGCUAGCCUUGGUAGAGAUUUGCGGAGGUAGAGCACUGAAUUUCCUAGGGGGCGUCAAAGCCUACCGAAGAAUAUCAAACUCCGAAUGCCGUGUAAUUGCUUACCAGGAGUCAGACUGCACGAGAUAAGUUGGGCAGUCAAAAGGGAAAGAGCCCAGACCUUCAGUUAAGGUCCCAAAGUGUGCGUUAAGUGGAAAAGGAUGUGGGAUUUCGAAGACAACCAGGAUGUUGGCUCAGAAGCAGCCAUUCAUUCAAAGAGUGCGUAAUAGCUCACUGGUCGAGAGGUCCUGCGCCGAAAAUGUCCGGGGCUGAAACGCACCACCGAAACUAAGGGAUCCGAAAGGAUCGGUAGAGGAGCAUUGCAUGCGGGACGAAGCAGUACCGUAAGGAGCUGUGGACUGCAUGGAAGAGAGAAUGCCGGAAUGAGUAGCGAGAUAGAGGUGAGAAUCCUCUAGGCCGAAUAUCCAAGGUUUCCAGGGUAAAGCUGAUCUGCCCUGGGUAAGUCGGGGCCUAAGGUGAGGACGAGAGUCGUAGCCGAUGGACAACAGGUGGAGAUUCCUGUACUAUGAUAUGACAGAACUGUGGGGACACGUGCAGAGAGCGGAAGCCGGGAAUGGGAUCCCGGUGCAAGCGAGGUACCAGCCGCAUUGGAAAAACCGUGCGGCAAUGGGAAGACGUGAUGCGGAGUGAAGUUUAGUAAUGAAGUCCGUGAGCUGUGCGUCAAGAAAAGCCGCUAUUGUUCAUACCAUACCCGUACCGUAAACCGACACAGGUGGAUGAGGAGAGAAUCCUAAGGCCGGCGGAAGAAGCAUUGUCAAGGAACUCGGCAAAAUGACCCCGUAACUUCGGGAGAAGGGGUGCCUGCGAGAGCAGGCCGCAGAGAAUAGGCUCAAGCAACUGUUUAGCAAAAACACAGGUCUAUGCGAAACCGAAAGGUGAGGUAUAUGGGCUGACGCCUGCCCGGUGCUGGAAGGUUAAGAGGAGAGGUUAGCGCAAGCGAAGCUUUGAAUUUAAGCCCCAGUAAACGGCGGCCGUAACUAUAACGGUCCUAAGGUAGCGAAAUUCCUUGUCGGGUAAGUUCCGACCCGCACGAAAGGCGUAAUGAUUUGAGCGCUGUCUCGACAAUGCAUCCGGUGAAAUUGAAGUACCAGUGAAGAUGCUGGUUACCUGCGCCAGGACGGAAAGACCCCAUGGAGCUUUACUCCAGU
RNAcentral lists this ribosomal RNA (2069 nucleotides) under human gut metagenome. RNAcentral's name for it is "bacterial LSU rRNA". It matches the Rfam family "Bacterial large subunit ribosomal RNA", at positions 1 to 2110 of the family's 2925-position model. The record is from RNAcentral.